AGUCUUCUGGAGCGUUCGCUUGUGGCCCAAUCCCUUGAGCCUUAAUGCACCUCCUUGGGGAUGGCACCCGAGAGCCGUGUGCAUGUCCGCCCCGUGCGGAAAGCCUGACGCCCUCACCGCCCUCCCCGACUUGAACCGCUCGGUUCAAGGUACGUGGCCAACAGCGGCGCCCUGGAAGACCC
RNAcentral lists this non-coding RNA (182 nucleotides) under Halothiobacillaceae bacterium. RNAcentral describes it as "6S RNA". It matches the Rfam family "6S / SsrS RNA". From Rfam's summary of the family: E. coli 6S RNA was the first non coding RNA to be sequenced, but its function was unknown until recently. It consists of 184 nucleotides that fold into an extended hairpin structure with a large single-stranded internal bulge. The 6S RNA specifically associates with RNA polymerase holoenzyme containing the sigma70 specificity factor. Lineage: Bacteria; Pseudomonadati; Pseudomonadota; Gammaproteobacteria; Chromatiales; Halothiobacillaceae. The record is from RNAcentral.